UUACCAGGUUAAAUCAAAAGAGAUCCUUCGGGGGAAGGUGGUGCAUGGCUGUCGUCAGCUCGUGUCGUGAGAUGUUGGGUUAAGUCCCGCAACGAGCGCAACCCUAUCUAUGUUGCCAGCGUACGGGACUCGUAGAGACUGCCGGGGUCAAUCGGAGGAAGGUGGGGAUGACGUCAAGUCAUCAUGCCCCUUAUGCUGGGCUGCAAACACGCUACAAUGGGGUACAAGGGGCACCGCGAGGUUAGCAAUCCCAAACCGUCUCAGUUCGGAUUGGAGGCUGCAACUCGCCUCCAUGAAGCUGGAGUUGCUAGUAAUCCCGAUCAGCCGCGGGGUGAAUACGUUCCCGGGCCUUGUACACACCGCCCGUCACACCACGAAAGUCGGAAACCGAA
This 392-nucleotide ribosomal RNA is filed under the name uncultured bacterium. RNAcentral describes it as "bacterial SSU rRNA". It matches the Rfam family "Bacterial small subunit ribosomal RNA", at positions 971 to 1425 of the family's 1533-position model. The record is from RNAcentral.